RNAcentral lists this ribosomal RNA (253 nucleotides) under uncultured bacterium. RNAcentral describes it as "partial 16S ribosomal RNA". It matches the Rfam family "Bacterial small subunit ribosomal RNA", at positions 524 to 776 of the family's 1533-position model. The record is from RNAcentral.
UACGUAGGCAGCGAGCGUUGUUCGGAGUUACUGGGCGUAAAGCGUGUGUAGGCGGUGUCUUAAGUUUGUUGUGAAAUCUCCCGGCUUAACCGGGAGGGUGCGGCGAAUACUGAGAUGCUGGAGUGCCGGAGAGGUAAGCGGAAUUCCUGGUGUAGCGGUGAAAUGCGUAGAUAUCAGGAGGAACACCUGCGGUGUAGACGGCUUACUGGACGGUAACUGACGCUGAGGCACGAAAGCGUGGGUAGCAAACAGG